UGAACGCGCUCAACUACAGGCCAUCGAAGAAGGACGCCAACCUGUGCGGCACCGGUAGCGGGCACUACUUACCUGCCUCUGUGAACUCCUCUUUGUUCCUCUGGCCGCCUUCGCCUCCGUCUGGGUUCCCCUGGCCGUCGCCUAUGCCUUACCCGUUUCCACCCCUGCCAUUCCAAACUCCGCCACCGCCAUCUCUCCCUUGGCCGUUCCCUCCUCUGUUUCCGACCCCACGAACACCAACUUUUCCUUUGCCCUUCCCCCCAGCACCGAACCGACCGCCAUCGCUGCCUCCAAUACCACCUAUUUUUCCUUCACCAACGCCGACGUCUCCAUUCCCUUUUCGAUUCCCACCCUUCCCUCCCUUUACUCCAAUGCCACCUCUGUUUAUGCCACCUUCUCUUCCUCCACCUGGAUCUUUUCCUUUCCCAUUUCCUCCAUUCCCUCCUACUACCACAACCUCUGGAGCGCCUUCCUCAU
This 477-nucleotide long non-coding RNA is filed under the name Musa acuminata (dwarf banana). RNAcentral's name for it is "long non-coding RNA (MACU_LNC004949)". Lineage: Eukaryota; Viridiplantae; Streptophyta; Magnoliopsida; Zingiberales; Musaceae. The record is from RNAcentral.